AGGACGAACGGCUGGCGGCGUGCCUAAUACAUGCAAGUCGAACGGCUUUUCGUAUGGAAGCUUGCUUCCACUGAGAAGAUAGUGGCGAACGGGGUGAGUAACACGUGGGGUAAACCGUGCCCAUAAGAGGGGGGAGUAACAUCCGGAAACGGGUGCUAAUACCGCAUAGUUUUCUUUGAUCGCAUGAUCGGGAAAGGAAAGACGGCCUUUGUGCUGUCGCUUAUGGAUGGACCCGCGGCGUAUUAGUUAGUUGGUGAGGUAACGGCUCACCAAGACGAUGAUACGUAGCCGGACCUGAGAGGGUGAUCGGCCACAUUGGGACUGAGACACGGCCCAAACUCCUACGGGAGGCAGCAGUAGGGAAUCUUCCGCAAUGGACGAAAGUCGUGACGGAGCAACGCCGCGUGAGUGAAGAAAGGGUUUUCGGAUCGUAAAACUCUGUUGUCAGAGAAGAACAAGUUGGAGAGUAACUGCUCCAGCCUUGACGGUAUCUGACCAGAAAGCCACGGCUAACUACGUGCCAGCCGCUGC
Molecule: ribosomal RNA, 531 nt
Filed under: uncultured bacterium
Lineage: Bacteria
Description: bacterial SSU rRNA
Rfam family: Bacterial small subunit ribosomal RNA
Source: RNAcentral